This 253-nucleotide ribosomal RNA is filed under the name uncultured bacterium. RNAcentral describes it as "partial 16S ribosomal RNA". It matches the Rfam family "Bacterial small subunit ribosomal RNA", at positions 524 to 776 of the family's 1533-position model. The record is from RNAcentral.
UACGUAGGGGGCUAGCGUUGUCCGGAUUUAUUGGGCGUAAAGAGCGUGUAGGCGGCCAGGUAGGUCUGCUGUGAAAACUCGAGGCUCAACCUCGAGACGUCGGCGGAAACCAUCUGGCUAGAGUCCGGAAGAGGAGAGUGGAAUUCCUGGUGUAGCGGUGAAAUGCGCAGAUAUCAGGAAGAACACCCGUGGCGAAGGCGGCUCUCUGGGACGGUACUGACGCUGAGACGCGAAAGCGUGGGGAGCGAGCCGG